UGGGGAAUAUUGCACAAUGGGCGCAAGCCUGAUGCAGCCAUGCCGCGUGUAUGAAGAAGGCCUUCGGGUUGUAAAGUACUUUCAGCGGGGAGGAAGGUGUUGAGGCUAAUAACCUCAGCAAUUGACGUUACCCGCAGAAGAAGCACCGGCUAACUCCGUGCCAGCAGCCGCGGUAAUACGGGGGGUGCAAGCGUUAAUCGGAAUUACUGGGCGUAAAGCGCACGCAGGCGGUCUGUCAAGUCGGAUGUGAAAUCCCCGGGCUCAACCUGGGAACUGCAUUCGAAACUGGCAGGCUAGAGUCUUGUAGAGGGGGGUAGAAUUCCAGGUGUAGCGGUGAAAUGCGUAGAGAUCUGGAGGAAUACCGGUGGCGAAGGCGGCCCCCUGGACAAAGACUGACGCUCAGGUGCGAAAGCGUGGGGAGCAAACA
This 427-nucleotide ribosomal RNA is filed under the name uncultured bacterium. RNAcentral's name for it is "partial 16S ribosomal RNA". It matches the Rfam family "Bacterial small subunit ribosomal RNA", at positions 355 to 774 of the family's 1533-position model. The record is from RNAcentral.